This 87-nucleotide transfer RNA is filed under the name Gammaproteobacteria bacterium. RNAcentral's name for it is "tRNA-Leu". It matches the Rfam family "tRNA". Rfam says of the family: Transfer RNA (tRNA) molecules are approximately 80 nucleotides in length. Their secondary structure includes four short double-helical elements and three loops (D, anti-codon, and T loops). Lineage: Bacteria; Pseudomonadati; Pseudomonadota; Gammaproteobacteria. RNAcentral also lists the same sequence under 1 other name. The record is from RNAcentral.
GCCCGGGUGGCGAAACUGGUAGACGCAGGGGACUUAAAAUCCCCCGGCCGCAAGGCCAUGCCGGUUCGACUCCGGCCCCGGGCACCA